Non-coding RNA from Triticum aestivum (bread wheat), 83 nucleotides. The record is from Rfam. Lineage: Eukaryota; Viridiplantae; Streptophyta; Magnoliopsida; Poales; Poaceae.
GAGAGCCAAAUGAAUCAAAAGAUUCAUGUUUGGUUCGGGAAGAGAUCAUAAAAGUUGUAAACUUCCAAAUAAUCUACUUUCAU